Molecule: long non-coding RNA, 513 nt
Organism: Chinchilla lanigera (long-tailed chinchilla)
Lineage: Eukaryota; Metazoa; Chordata; Mammalia; Rodentia; Chinchillidae
Exons: 3
Source: RefSeq, a predicted model, not a curated record
CUGCUUUGGGUCUGGAGAGCAAACAGCCGCCUGCUCUGGGGGCCUCAGGACGUUGGGGCAUUUUUUUCCUACUGAACUUGAUCUAUUAAGAAGAGUAGAGUGGGCAUCAUGUCAGAGAACUAUAUCUGAUGCUAAGGAUUGGCAAUCUCAAGCCCCUAGCCUGCUUGCCAGCAGAAGCAUUACUCUCUGCAAGGAUUUUAACCCAACACUCUACUGUCCACAACCCAGGAAAGGAGAUAAGAUAGGACAAGGAAGUUAUCAGGUCCUGGGGACAUCUGGAGACACCCAAAUAUUUACAAGGAACACUUCAAAGGACUCGGCCCACUGAGAUGCACGAUUGCGAGAAAACUUUAACCACAGUUCUUCCUUGGGAUCUUCUUGCCUAAUGUCCCCUGCCUUCUUUCCUUCUCUACAAAAGGGACACACUUCUCUUUGUUUGGGGUAGGAGAUCUUAUCACACUCUCUGCCUGAACCCAGGUACAAUAAAUUCCAUGCCAUGUUGCUGUUGCACAA